Molecule: ribosomal RNA, 379 nt
Filed under: uncultured eukaryote
Lineage: Eukaryota
Description: partial 18S ribosomal RNA
Rfam family: Eukaryotic small subunit ribosomal RNA
Source: RNAcentral
CAAUAGCGUAUAUUUAAGUUGUUGCAGUUAAAAAGCUCGUAGUUGGAUUUCGGAUGGGACUUGCCGGUCCGUCGUUUCGAUGUGCACUGGCCAGUCCUAUCUUGUUGUCGGGGACUAGCUCCUGGGCUUCACUGUCCGGGACUAGGAGCUGACGAGGUUACUUUGAGUAAAUUAGAGUGUUCAAAGCAAGCCUACGCUCUGAAUACAUUAGCAUGGAAUAACACGAUAGGACUCUGGCUUAUCUUGUUGGUCUGUGAGACCAGAGUAAUGAUUAAGAGGGACAGUCGGGGGCAUUCGUAUUUCAUUGUCAGAGGUGAAAUUCUUGGAUUUAUGAAAGACGAACUUCUGCGAAAGCAUUUGUCAAGGAUGUUUUCACUAA